GCGCCUCGCUAGGGGUCCUGGAAACGCAUUUCCGGGUGAGAGAUACCCUUCGUACCUGAUCUGGAUAAUGCCAGCGAAGGAAAGCGCAAAAGUGGUUCU
This 99-nucleotide non-coding RNA is filed under the name Duganella sacchari. Its description in RNAcentral is "TPP sequence". It matches the Rfam family "TPP riboswitch aptamer (THI element)". From Rfam's summary of the family: Vitamin B(1) in its active form thiamin pyrophosphate (TPP) is an essential coenzyme that is synthesised by coupling of pyrimidine and thiazole moieties in bacteria. The previously detected thiamin-regulatory element, thi box was extended, resulting in a new, highly conserved RNA secondary structure, the THI element, which is widely distributed in eubacteria and also occurs in some archaea. The record is from RNAcentral. Lineage: Bacteria; Pseudomonadati; Pseudomonadota; Betaproteobacteria; Burkholderiales; Oxalobacteraceae.